Molecule: ribosomal RNA, 549 nt
Filed under: uncultured bacterium
Lineage: Bacteria
Description: bacterial SSU rRNA
Rfam family: Bacterial small subunit ribosomal RNA
Source: RNAcentral
UAGGGAAUCUUCCGCAAUGGGCGAAAGCCUGACGGAGCAACGCCGCGUGAGUGAUGAAGGUCUUCGGACCGUAAAACUCUGUUAUUAGGGAAGAACAUAUGUGUAAGUAACUGUGCACAUCUUGACGGUACCUAAUCAGAAAGCCACGGCUAACUACGUGCCAGCAGCCGCGGUAAUACGUAGGUGGCAAGCGUUAUCCGGAAUUAUUGGGCGUAAAGCGAGCGCAGGCGGUUAGAUAAGUCUGAAGUUAAAGGCUGUGGCUUAACCAUAGUACGCUUUGGAAACUGUUUAACUUGAGUGCAAGAGGGGAGAGUGGAAUUCCAUGUGUAGCGGUGAAAUGCGUAGAUAUAUGGAGGAACACCGGUGGCGAAAGCGGCUCUCUGGCUUGUAACUGACGCUGAGGCUCGAAAGCGUGGGGAGCAAACAGGAUUAGAUACCCUGGUAGUCCACGCCGUAAACGAUGAGUGCUAGGUGUUAGACCCUUUCCGGGGUUUAGUGCCGUAGCUAACGCAUUAAGCACUCCGCCUGGGGAGUACGACCGCAAGGUUG